RNAcentral lists this ribosomal RNA (274 nucleotides) under uncultured bacterium. RNAcentral's name for it is "partial 16S ribosomal RNA". It matches the Rfam family "Bacterial small subunit ribosomal RNA", at positions 523 to 796 of the family's 1533-position model. The record is from RNAcentral.
AUACGGAGGGUGCAAGCGUUAAUCGGAAUUACUGGGCGUAAAGCGCGCGUAGGCGGUUUGGUAAGUCGGAUGUGAAAGCCCCGGGCUCAACCUGGGAAUUGCAUUCGAUACUGCCAGACUAGAGUAUGGUAGAGGGAAGUGGAAUUCCGGGUGUAGCGGUGAAAUGCGUAGAUAUCCGGAGGAACACCAGUGGCGAAGGCGACUUCCUGGACCAAUACUGACGCUUAGGUGCGAAAGCGUGGGGAGCAAACAGGAUUAGAAACCCUAGUAGUCC